Molecule: ribosomal RNA, 646 nt
Filed under: uncultured bacterium
Lineage: Bacteria
Description: bacterial SSU rRNA
Rfam family: Bacterial small subunit ribosomal RNA
Source: RNAcentral
AGAGGUUAAAGCGGAGACGCGAUGGAGGAGGGGCUCGUGCCCUAUCAGCUAGUUGGUGAGGUAACGGCUCACCAAGGCGACGACGGGUAGCCGGCCUGAGAGGGUGAACGGCCACACUGGAACUGAGAUACGGUCCAGACUCCUACGGGAGGCAGCAGUGGGGAAUAUUGGGCAAUGGGAGCAAUCCUGACCCAGCAACGCCGCGUGAACGAAGAAGGCCCUUGGGUCGUAAAGUUCUUUUAUGUGGGAAGAAUAAGAUGACGGUACCACAUGAAUAAGCCCCGGCUAACUACGUGCCAGCAGCCGCGGUAAUACGUAGGGGGCGAGCGUUGUCCGGAAUUACUGGGCGUAAAGGGCACGCAGGCUGUGCUUUAAGUCAGCUGUUAAAAGAUGCGGCUUAACCGUGUUGUGCAGUUGAAACUGGAGUACUGGAGUACUGGAGAGGCAAGUGGAAUUCCCAGUGUAGCGGUGAAAUGCGUAGAUAUUGGGAAGAACACCGGUGGCGAAGGCGACUUGCUGGUCAGUAACUGACGCUGAGGUGCGAAAGCUAGGGGAGCAAACGGGAUUAGAUACCCCGGUAGUCCUAGCCGUAAACGAUGAAUGCUGGGUGUGCGAGUAGAGAUACUGGUGUGCCGUAGUUAACGCG